UACGUAGGGGGCAAGCGUUGUCCGGAUUUAUUGGGCGUAAAGGGUGCGUAGGCGGCGCGGUAAGUCGGGUGUGAAAUCUCGGAGCUUAACUCCGAAACUGCAUUCGAUACUGCCGUGCUUGAGGACUGGAGAGGAGACUGGAAUUUACGGUGUAGCGGUGAAAUGCGUAGAUAUCAGGAAGAACACCGAUGGCGAAGGCAGUUCUCUGGGACGGUACUGACGCUGAGACGCGAAAGCGUGGGGAGCGAACAGG
RNAcentral lists this ribosomal RNA (253 nucleotides) under uncultured bacterium. Its description in RNAcentral is "partial 16S ribosomal RNA". It matches the Rfam family "Bacterial small subunit ribosomal RNA", at positions 524 to 776 of the family's 1533-position model. The record is from RNAcentral.